UACGAAGGGGGCAAGCGUUGUUCGGAAUUACUGGGCGUAAAGGGCGCGUAGGCGGCUUAUCAAGUCAGGCGUGAAAUUCCCGGGCUCAACCUGGGGGCUGCGCUUGAUACUGAUUGGCUUGAAUGCGGGAGAGGAUAGUGGAAUUCCCAGUGUAGAGGUGGAAUUCGUAGAUAUUGGGAAGAACACCGGUGGCGAAGGCGGCUAUCUGGCCCGUAAUUGACGCUGAGGCGCGAAAGCGUGGGGAGCAAACAGG
RNAcentral lists this ribosomal RNA (253 nucleotides) under uncultured bacterium. RNAcentral's name for it is "partial 16S ribosomal RNA". It matches the Rfam family "Bacterial small subunit ribosomal RNA", at positions 524 to 776 of the family's 1533-position model. The record is from RNAcentral.